Long non-coding RNA from Cydia pomonella (codling moth), 611 nucleotides. RefSeq lists it as uncharacterized. The record is from RefSeq and is a predicted model, not a curated record. The transcript has 3 exons. Lineage: Eukaryota; Metazoa; Arthropoda; Insecta; Lepidoptera; Tortricidae.
AGCACUCUAUGUGUGCUGAACUUGACGCUGACCUCAAGCCUCAACAUGGCGAUGGAUUGCCGGCACAUCUUAAAGUAAAGAUAUAAUGUUGCACUAUUCCUCAAAUCAUUCCCGUUACCUUUACCACCUUGAUCAUAAUCAUUAUUUCAUAAUGAUAUGCCUACUUACAAGUCUUUGUUUUAGGUUUUAACAUCACUGCACCUAUUGGCUGACGGUAGUUACUAACGGGGAACUGGACAAGACCAUGGCUUGUCCAUUGCUCAGUCUACCGUCAGCCGGUACUUGGAUCAAUUUGUAAUUGUGGUGAAUAGAAGACUCAAGGACACUUGGAUAGUCUUCCCAGAAAAUGAGAGGUGUUCAGGAGGCAUAUGGGGUUGCUAACAUUUUAGGCACAGUAGACUGCACCCAAGUAAAAAUAUUUCCAUAACCUUUACCGCAUGGCGUACAGUUUCUAAACAGAAAAGGAAUUCAUUCGCUAAACGUUCAGUUGAAAUCUUCCAAUAAAAGGCGAACCUGAAGCGGAAAUGGAAGGGGGCGCUGCUCGAGGGAUGCAUUACAUGCAGAGAAGCGUGCCCUAUUAAUAAAUAAAUAUUUCGCCUAGUAUUAUUUUA